AAUCAAUGGAGAAAAGUUAAUAUCGGGCUUCUAAGUCAUCUCUAAACAGGAUCAGUCAACUGCAGCUUCCUUGUCCUUGAGUAUACAGACGAUACUGACACGUAGCAACUGGCAGCUGCCCCGCCUCCUCUGACGUCUCUUACCCCAUGUCCUGUUCAGGCUAUCCUACGUCUAUCUCUCAGCGUGAUUGGAGGGUGUGGAGUAUUCCUCGACUUCUUUCGUCUAUUCUUUUACUUUCAUCCUAGUUCUCGCUGUUCUGACGGUCAUCAAUCUGGCAAGGGAUAGCAAAUAGAGGUACCACCUACUUUUUGUAAAAACAGACAAAACAAGAGGGGAAAUAUCGCUGAGGCUUCAGUGUGUGACCCAUAUACAGAUACAAGAGAAUGGAUGGCAUGAGGAAAUGGUA
Molecule: long non-coding RNA, 406 nt
Organism: Gambusia affinis (western mosquitofish)
Lineage: Eukaryota; Metazoa; Chordata; Actinopteri; Cyprinodontiformes; Poeciliidae
Exons: 4
Source: RefSeq, a predicted model, not a curated record